Loxodonta africana (African savanna elephant) is the source of this 72-nucleotide transfer RNA. It matches the Rfam family "tRNA". Rfam says of the family: Transfer RNA (tRNA) molecules are approximately 80 nucleotides in length. NCBI's taxonomy places the organism in Eukaryota, Metazoa, Chordata, Mammalia, Proboscidea, Elephantidae. The record is from Rfam.
GGAGGCUUGGCAUAGUGGUUAAGAGCUUGGCUGCUAACCAAAAGGUCGGCAGUUUGAAUCUACCAGCUGCUC